RNAcentral lists this ribosomal RNA (170 nucleotides) under Bacillus sp. 71mf. RNAcentral's name for it is "23S rRNA. Bacterial LSU". It matches the Rfam family "Bacterial large subunit ribosomal RNA", at positions 2757 to 2925 of the family's 2925-position model. The record is from RNAcentral. Lineage: Bacteria; Bacillati; Bacillota; Bacilli; Caryophanales; Bacillaceae.
GGAAGGGAUAAGUGCUGAAAGCAUCUAAGCAUGAAGCCCCCCUCAAGAUGAGAUUUCCCAUAGCGUUAAGCUAGUAAGAUCCCUGAAAGAUGAUCAGGUUGAUAGGUUCGAGGUGGAAGCGUGGUGACACGUGGAGCUGACGAAUACUAAUAGAUCGAGGACUUAACCAU